This 253-nucleotide ribosomal RNA is filed under the name uncultured bacterium. Its description in RNAcentral is "partial 16S ribosomal RNA". It matches the Rfam family "Bacterial small subunit ribosomal RNA", at positions 524 to 776 of the family's 1533-position model. The record is from RNAcentral.
CACGUAGGGGGCGAGCGUUGUUCGGAUUCAUUGGGCGUAAAGGGUGCGUAGGCGGCGCGGUAAGUCGGGUGUGAAAUCUCGGGGCUUAACUCCGAAACUGCAUUCGAUACUGCCGUGCUUGAGGACUGGAGAGGAGACUGGAAUUUACGGUGUAGCGGUGAAAUGCGUAGAUAUCGUAAGGAAGACCAGUGGCGAAGGCGGGUCUCUGGACAGUUCCUGACGCUGAGGCACGAAGGUCAGGGGAGCAAACGGG